UUGCACUGAUGAUGUAGAUAUGACUGAACUGGCAUUGCUGACCUCAGGGUCGGCUCUGGCCAGGAAAUGACCUCAGUUAAUCUUCUCUCUGAGCAG
Small nucleolar RNA from Sander lucioperca (pikeperch), 96 nucleotides. The record is from Ensembl. NCBI's taxonomy places the organism in Eukaryota, Metazoa, Chordata, Actinopteri, Perciformes, Percidae.